GGGGAAUUUUUCGCAAUGGGCGCAAGCCUGACGAAGCAACGCCGCGUGGAGGAUGAAGGCCCUAGCGGUCGUAAACUCCUGUCUAGCGGGACGAAAGUUAUCAGGGUGAAUAAUCCUGGUGGUUGACUGUACCGCUGGAGGAAGCUCCGGCCAACUCCGUGCCAGCAGCCGCGGUAAUACGGAGGGUGCGAGCGUUAAUCGGAAUUACUGGGCGUAAAGCGCGCGUAGGCGGCUGAUCAAGUCCGAUGUGAAAGCCCCGGGCUCAACCCGGGAACGGCGUUGGAGACUGAUCGGCUGGAGUGCGACAGAGGGUGGUGGAAUUCCCGGUGUAGCGGUGAAAUGCGUAGAGAUCGGGAGGAACAUCGAUGGCGAAGGCAACCGCCUGGGUCGACACUGACGCUGAGGUGCGAAAGCGUGGGGAGCAA
RNAcentral lists this ribosomal RNA (425 nucleotides) under uncultured bacterium. RNAcentral describes it as "bacterial SSU rRNA". It matches the Rfam family "Bacterial small subunit ribosomal RNA", at positions 356 to 771 of the family's 1533-position model. The record is from RNAcentral.